UGAGGAAUAUUGGUCAAUGGGCGAGAGCCUGAACCAGCCACGUCGCGUGAAGGAAGACUGACCUUACGGUUUGUAAACUUCUUUUGUAGAGGGGUAAUGGCAGAUACGUGUAUUUGCGUGAAAGUACUCUACGAAUAAGCAUCGGCUAACUCCGUGCCAGCAGCCGCGGUAAUACGGGGGAUGCGAGCGUUAUCCGGAAUUAUUGUGUUUAAAGGGUGCGCAGGUUGCUAAUCAGGUCAGUGGUGAAAAGCUAUGGCUCAACCAUGGUCUUGCCAUUGAAACAGUAUAGCUAGAGAGGAGACGAGGUAGGCGGAAUGUGUGGUGUAGCGGUGAAAUGCAAUGAUAUCACACAGAACUCCGAUUGCGAAGGCAGCUUACCAGGCUUUAUCUGACACUUAGGCACGACAGCGUGGGGAUCAAACAGG
This 425-nucleotide ribosomal RNA is filed under the name Verrucomicrobiota bacterium. RNAcentral's name for it is "Verrucomicrobia bacterium partial 16S ribosomal RNA". It matches the Rfam family "Bacterial small subunit ribosomal RNA", at positions 355 to 776 of the family's 1533-position model. The record is from RNAcentral. Lineage: Bacteria; Pseudomonadati; Verrucomicrobiota.